Molecule: ribosomal RNA, 377 nt
Filed under: uncultured bacterium
Lineage: Bacteria
Description: partial 16S ribosomal RNA
Rfam family: Bacterial small subunit ribosomal RNA
Source: RNAcentral
CCUACGGGUGGCAGCAGUGGGGAAUAUUGCACAAUGGGGGAAACCCUGAUGCAGCGACGCCGCGUGAGUGAAGAAGUACUUCGUUAUGUAAAGCUCUAUCAGCAGGGAAGAAAAUGACGGUACCUGUGUAAGAAGCCCCGGCUAACUACGUGCCAGCAGCCGAGGGAAUAAGGAGGGGGCAAGCGUUAUCCGGAUUUACUGGGUGUAAAGGGAGCGUAGACGGCAGUGCAAGUCUGGAGUGAAAGGCGGGGGGUCAACCCCCGGACUGCUCUGGAAACUGUAUGGCUGGAGUGCAGGAGAGGUAAGUGGAAUGCCUGGUGUAGCGGUGAAAUGCGUAGAUAUUAGGAGGAACACCAGUGGCGAAGGCGGCUUACUGG